Molecule: ribosomal RNA, 440 nt
Filed under: uncultured bacterium
Lineage: Bacteria
Description: partial 16S ribosomal RNA
Rfam family: Bacterial small subunit ribosomal RNA
Source: RNAcentral
CCUACGGGAGGCAGCAGUGGGGAAUAUUGCACAAUGGGGGAAACCCUGAUGCAGCGACGCCGCGUGAGUGAAGAAGUAUUUCGGUAUGUAAAGCUCUAUCAGCAGGGAAGAAAAUGACGGUACCUGAUUAAGAAGCCCCGGCUAACUACGUGCCAGCAGCCGCGGUAAUACGUAGGGGGCAAGCGUUAUCCGGAUUUACUUGGUGUAAGGGGAGCGUAGACGGCAGAACAAGUCUGGAGUGAAAUGCCGGGGCUUAACCCCGGAACUGCUUUGGAAACUGUGCAGCUAGAGUGCAGGAGAGGUAAGUGGAAUUCCUAGUGUAGCGGUGAAAUGCGUAGAUAUUAGGAGGAACACCAGUGGCGAAUGCGGCUUACUGGACUGUAACUGACGUUGAGGCUCGAAAGCGUGGGGAGCAAACAGGAUUAGAUACCCCAGUAGUC